Hibiscus syriacus is the source of this 224-nucleotide long non-coding RNA. RefSeq lists it as uncharacterized. The record is from RefSeq and is a predicted model, not a curated record. Lineage: Eukaryota; Viridiplantae; Streptophyta; Magnoliopsida; Malvales; Malvaceae. The transcript is spliced from 2 exons.
UUUGAUUUGCAAGAACAUUUGUUAGCACUGCGGCGAUAUCAUUUUAUGGAACUGGCAGACUGGGCGGAUUUGUUUAUUAUGUCCCUUUCGCGUCAUAAAUGUUGUGUUACAGAGGUGGAGCAGAGAAUCUCUGAAAUUCAAGGACUUCUUGAGUUGUCAGUGCAGAGAUCAUUUUGUGAAAGAGACCAUCAUAAAGAUAGGUUAUUUAUAUAUGCAAAAUGGCA